GGUACGGACCCGCCGAGUCGUACGUACGAGCCGGGGACCCAUGUCCCACUGGGGUGAAUCCGCAGGCGUGCCUGUGGUAGGGCCAAUCUUCCCGCCCGAAUCCGUCAGCUAACCCGGUAGGCGGAACGGAAGGAGUA
Molecule: small RNA, 137 nt
Filed under: Actinomycetota bacterium
Lineage: Bacteria; Bacillati; Actinomycetota
Description: Actinobacteria bacterium c-di-AMP sequence
Rfam family: c-di-AMP riboswitch aptamer (ydaO/yuaA leader)
About the family: This family represents a conserved RNA structure found upstream of the ydaO and yuaA genes in Bacillus subtilis and related genes in other bacteria. The ydaO/yuaA element is thought to act as a genetic "off" switch for the ydaO and yuaA genes in its native state.
Source: RNAcentral